UGGGGAAUAUUGCACAAUGGGCGAAAGCCUGAUGCAGCAACGCCGCGUGAGUGAUGAAGGCCUUCGGGUUGUAAAGCUCUGUCUUUGGGGACGAUAAUGACGGUACCCAAGGAGGAAGCCACGGCUAACUACGUGCCAGCAGCCGCGGUAAUACGUAGGUGGCAAGCGUUGUCCGGAUUUACUGGGCGUAAAGGAUGCGUAGGCGGAUUUUUAAGUGAGAUGUGAAAUUCCCGAGCUUAACUUGGGGGCUGCAUUUCAAACUGGAAGUCUAGAGUGCGGGAGAGGAAAGUGGAAUUCCUAGUGUAGCGGUGAAAUGCGUAGAGAUUAGGAAGAACACCAGUGGCGAAGGCGACUUUCUGGACCGUAACUGACGCUGAGGCAUGAAAGCGUGGGUAGCAAA
Molecule: ribosomal RNA, 400 nt
Filed under: uncultured bacterium
Lineage: Bacteria
Description: bacterial SSU rRNA
Rfam family: Bacterial small subunit ribosomal RNA
Source: RNAcentral